AGCAGCCGCGGUAAUUCCAGCUCCAAUAGCGUAUAUUAAAGUUGUUGCAGUUAAAAAGCUCGUAGUUGAAUUUCGGGAUUGGCGCAUCGGUCGUGCCUCACGGGGUAUGAACUGGUGCAGUCAAUUUCUCACCUUCUGGAGAACCGCGAUGUCCUUAAUUGGGUGCCGCGGGGAACCAGGGCCUUUACUUUGAAAAAAUUAGAGUGUUUAAAGCAGGCAUUUUUGCUUGAAUACAUUAGCAUGGAAUAAUAAAAUAGGACGGCAUGGUUCUAUUUUGUUGGUUUCUAGGACCACCGUAAUGAUUAAUAGGGAUAGUUGGGGGCAUUAGUAUUCAAUUGUCAGAGGUGAAAUUCUUGGAUUUAUUGAAGACUAACUACUGCGAAAGCAUUUGCCAAGGAUGUUUUCAUUAAUCAAGAACGAAAGUUAGGGGAUCGAAGACGAUCAGAUACCGUCGUAGUCUUAACCAUAAACUAUGCCGACUAGGAAUCAGACGAUGUUAAUUUUUAAUGUACUUCGUUUG
This 520-nucleotide ribosomal RNA is filed under the name uncultured Glomeromycotina. RNAcentral describes it as "SSU rRNA". It matches the Rfam family "Eukaryotic small subunit ribosomal RNA", at positions 569 to 1082 of the family's 1831-position model. Lineage: Eukaryota; Fungi; Glomeromycota. The record is from RNAcentral.